Molecule: ribosomal RNA, 650 nt
Filed under: Mycolicibacterium chubuense
Lineage: Bacteria; Bacillati; Actinomycetota; Actinomycetes; Mycobacteriales; Mycobacteriaceae
Description: bacterial SSU rRNA
Rfam family: Bacterial small subunit ribosomal RNA
Source: RNAcentral
GCAGUCGACGGAAAGGCCCUUCGGGGUACUCGAGUGGCGAACGGGUGAGUAACACGUGGGUGAUCUGCCCUGCACUUUGGGAUAAGCCUGGGAAACUGGGUCUAAUACCGGAUAGGACCACGGCAUGCAUGUGCUGUGGUGGAAAGCUUUUGCGGUGUGGGAUGGGCCCGCGGCCUAUCAGCUUGUUGGUGGGGUGAUGGCCUACCAAGGCGACGACGGGUAGCCGGCCUGAGAGGGUGUCCGGCCACACUGGGACUGAGAUACGGCCCAGACUCCUACGGGAGGCAGCAGUGGGGAAUAUUGCACAAUGGGCGCAAGCCUGAUGCAGCGACGCCGCGUGAGGGAUGACGGCCUUCGGGUUGUAAACCUCUUUCGCCUACGACGAAGCGCAAGUGACGGUAGUAGGAGAAGAAGCACCGGCCAACUACGUGCCAGCAGCCGCGGUAAUACGUAGGGUGCGAGCGUUGUCCGGAAUUACUGGGCGUAAAGAGCUCGUAGGUGGUUUGUCGCGUUGUUCGUGAAAACUCACAGCUUAACUGUGGGCGUGCGGGCGAUACGGGCAGACUGGAGUACUGCAGGGGAGACUGGAAUUCCUGGUGUAGCGGUGGAAUGCGCAGAUAUCAGGAGGAACACCGGUGGCGAAGGCGGGA